RNAcentral lists this ribosomal RNA (492 nucleotides) under uncultured bacterium. Its description in RNAcentral is "partial 16S ribosomal RNA". It matches the Rfam family "Bacterial small subunit ribosomal RNA", at positions 29 to 507 of the family's 1533-position model. The record is from RNAcentral.
AGUGAACGCUGGCGGUAGGCCUAACACAUGCAAGUCGAACGGCAGCACAGUAAGAGUUUGCUCUUACGGGUGGCGAGUGGCGGACGUGUGAGGAAUACAUCGGAAUCUACUUUUUCGUGGGGGAUAACGUAGGGAAACUUACGCUAAUACCGCAUACGACCUACGGGUGAAAGCAGGGGAUCUUCGGACCUUGCGCGAUUGAAUGAGCCGAUGUCGGAUUAGCUAGUUGGCGGGGUAAAGGCCCACCAAGGCGACGAUCCGUAGCUGGUCUGAGAGGAUGAUCAGCCACACUGGAACUGAGACACGGUCCAGACUCCUACGGGAGGCAGCAGUGGGGAAUAUUGGACAAUGGGCGCAAGCCUGAUCCAGCAAUCCCGCGUGGGUGAAGAAGGCCUUCGGGUUGUAAAGCCCUUUUGUUGGGAAAGAAAAGCAGCAGGUUAAUACCCCGCUGUUCUGACGGUACCCAAAGAAUAGGCACCGGCUAACUUCGUG